Molecule: ribosomal RNA, 515 nt
Filed under: uncultured bacterium
Lineage: Bacteria
Description: partial 16S ribosomal RNA
Rfam family: Bacterial small subunit ribosomal RNA
Source: RNAcentral
GAUGAACGCUGGCGGCGUGCCUAAUACAUGCAAGUCGAGCGAAUGGAUUAAGAGCUUGCUCUUAUGAAGUUAGCGGCGGACGGGUGAGUAACACGUGGGUAACCUGCCCAUAAGACUGGGAUAACUCCGGGAAACCGGGGCUAAUACCGGAUAACAUUUUGAACCGCAUGGUUCGAAAUUGAAAGGCGGCUUCGGCUGUCACUUAUGGAUGGACCCGCGUCGCAUUAGCUAGUUGGUGAGGUAACGGCUCACCAAGGCAACGGUGCGAAGCCGACCUGGGAGGGUGAUCGGCCACACUGGGACUGAGGCACGGCCCAGACUCCUACGGGAGGCAGCAGUAGGGAAUCUUCCGCAAUGGACGAAAGUCUGACGGAGCAACGCCGCGUGAGUGUUGAAGGCUUUCGGGUCGUAAAACUCUGUUGUUAGGGAAGAACAAGUGCUAGUUGAAUAAGCUGGCACCUUGACGGUACCUAACCAGAAAGCCACGGCUAACUACGUGCCAGCCGCCGCUGUAC